RNAcentral lists this long non-coding RNA (1100 nucleotides) under Heterocephalus glaber (naked mole-rat). RNAcentral describes it as "lncRNA (ENSHGLG00000034231.1)". Lineage: Eukaryota; Metazoa; Chordata; Mammalia; Rodentia; Bathyergidae. The record is from RNAcentral.
CUCUAGUUUUAUUCCUGUGGCAUGGUCAGAGGAUGUACAUGAUGACUUCAAUUUGUUGCACUCUCUGUGUCACCUUGUGUGUGGUCUGUCUCUGUGUUCGGAGGGCACUUGGAAAGGCAUAGGCUGCCGAUGUUGGGUGGAGUAAUGUAUUCUAUAAAAGCCAGUUGUUCUGUCCUUGCCAAUUUCUGUCUAGUUUGAACAAUGUUUGAGAGGGGCACUGAAAUCUCCAAACUGUAAUUGUGAAUGUAUCUGUUUCUCUUUUCUCAGUUUCACUUUAUGUAUUUUAUAACUAUCUUAUCUGGUACAUAUACAUUUAAAAUGUCUAGGCCUUCUUGGUGAUUUUUACCCUUUUAGAAUUAUAUAUUGUCCUUUACUGUCCCUAGAAGUUUUCUUUGCUCUGGGAUAUACUUCUUGAUAUUUUGACCAAUGUCUGCAUAAUAUACAAUUUUUCAUCCCUUUACUUUUGGGUUUUUUUUCUUUUCUUUUUUCUUUUUUUUUUGACAGGCUCUCCUAGGUAUUCCAGGCUGGCCUCAAUCUCACAGCAAUCCUCCAGCAUCAGCCUCCCUAGUGUUGGGAUUAUAGGUGUGCCCCACCACGCCCAGCUUUUCUAUUCCUCUUAUGUAAAUACCAGAGUGGAAUUUCUGGGCCAUAUCAAAGUACUUUCUUCUUUUUCUUUUCUUUCCUUCUUUCCAGGGCCUUGUGCGGGCUAAGCAGGCGCUGUACCAUUGAACUCCACCCACCUGUAAAUGUUGUAAUGAACCUCCAGCCCUGGGCAGUAGAUGUGGACUUCCCUAACCCACCCCCUUCUCCAACUGUUGAUGACAAUCGCUUCCAUUUUAGUCACUCCACUUGAACGGCAGGAUCUCAUUGGAGCUUUUAAUUUUCAUUAACAGCUGCCUGGAACAUACAUGUGAUGGCUGGAGUGCUGGCAUCCAUCUUAACAAUGAAGUGGACAUAGGACUAAAAGGCCCAAGACUGAAGGAGCUUGAGACAUCGUGAAGAUACAGCCACAAAACUGUCUACUUUCAUACUUCUUGUACAUGAGACAGAAAUAAACUUCUAUCUUGUAUUAGCCUAUAUUAUUCAGGACUAUUCCUCAC